This is a long non-coding RNA of Prunus persica (peach), 434 nucleotides long. RefSeq lists it as uncharacterized. The record is from RefSeq and is a predicted model, not a curated record. NCBI's taxonomy places the organism in Eukaryota, Viridiplantae, Streptophyta, Magnoliopsida, Rosales, Rosaceae. The transcript has 3 exons.
AUAUGUGAACUAUGCCAAAGAGGCCAAGCUUUCAAUAUAUGCCCCGGAUUUUAAUAGCAAUAAGACUCGGAAGAAAGCUGGCUUCAUACCAAGGAGGACCCGACCUAGCUCUGGAGCUAGAAGAAAGCUUUUGGGUCAGAGCUCUAGGCCACUGCCGUUGGAUCAGGGUGAGGAUAGCGGUAGCUUGGAGGGAAGCACUGACCCAGUAGAGAGCACUGAUACAGGCAAGAACAUCGAAGCUGGCCUCCACGAAGCAUUGGAAGACCCGAUUAGGCAAGAAGCCUUCAACGAAUAACUGUUUCUCUUUCUGACUCAAAACUCUGUUCAUUUUUCAUGGAUUUUAACUUUUUAGUAUAACUCUUUUGGCACCGUAAUUUUUUUUUUUUUUUGGGAAGACUCCUUUGGCACUGUAAUGCUAUUUGCUGGUUUCUUAA